This 503-nucleotide long non-coding RNA is filed under the name Medicago truncatula (barrel medic). Its description in RNAcentral is "long non-coding RNA (MTRU_LNC007094)". The record is from RNAcentral. Lineage: Eukaryota; Viridiplantae; Streptophyta; Magnoliopsida; Fabales; Fabaceae.
UUUAAUGCUUAGUUAAUUAUCUUGUAAAUUUUGAGGUGGGGAAAGAUUCACUAAACAUUGGGACUAAAUAUUGCUAAAAACAUUGUUAAAUUAUUCAUUUUAUAGUUUAUUAUGUUUGGUAUAACGUUUUUUGUUAAAGUUAGACAUUGCCCGUCAGCCAUCCAAAGAUGCAACAUCUUACGCCAUGCAACUUGUAUAAUGCAAGGAGUCAAAAAAGUCUAAUCAACUUAUGGACAAUCAAGAUAAAAACAACUAGAAAGGCUAAAGGUGGUGAGAUGAUAUAUUUACCUUCAGAAGGAUAAAGAUGAUAUUCUCUCCCUCUUCAAGUUAUGGUACUUACCUUCAUCAUUGGUUCUCUCAAUUGAUUGAGUCAUUUGAUCAUUUCACACAUAUUAAAAAAACUGUAUAAAUGAGAGAGAAAAAAAAUUAGUUUUAAGUGUCUUUGUCAAAUAUUGGUGCAUUCACCAUUGUCUUAUAUGUAAAGUGAGAAAUAUGGAAUUGGA